RNAcentral lists this long non-coding RNA (1220 nucleotides) under Oryctolagus cuniculus (rabbit). RNAcentral describes it as "lncRNA (ENSOCUG00000032886.1)". Lineage: Eukaryota; Metazoa; Chordata; Mammalia; Lagomorpha; Leporidae. The record is from RNAcentral.
AAAAUAAAAUGGACAGUUUUAUAAAUAAUACUGGGACAUUAGACUACCCUCUAGAAAAAAACACAUGGGUGUGUAUCAAGCUUACCUUGCAAUCAAAAUAAAUCUCAAAUGAUCUAACUAAAGAAGCUAACAUUGAAAUAAACUGUUCAAGUAUUAGAAGAAAAAAUCAAUCAAAAAUAAUCUUGGGAUACAGAAAUCCUUCCAAGGGGUCCCUUCCCAAACCAAAAACUCAAAAGCUUAUAAAAGGAUACAAUUGACUUAGCAUAUAAAGAAAAAACAAAAACUAAUUAAAGGCAACUGUAAGAGUAAAGGCUAUUAUAUUCACAAUAUACAUGAAGAGUUAAUGCCCAGAAUAUAUAAAGAAAUCUUACAAAGCAAUAAGAAAAAGGCAAGUAAGUAAAAAGGAAAAAUGAGAGCAGUGUAUGAUGGGUGGUUCACAAAAGAAUUACAAGUGAUUAAAAUACAUGAAAAGAUAUUCCACUUCUUCAGUUAGUCAACAGUAACAUAGAAUUUUUCCCCCUUUAGCCUGUCAAAGAAGUUAGUUUCCCUGGAAAGUACACAUUAUCGCUGAUCUACUCCCUCUUCACAGGAGGAAAUGGAAGAGGACUGGUGUUGUGACAUAACUGGUUAUGCUGCCACCUGCAAUGCCAGCACCCCAUAUGGGCACCAAUUUGAUUCCCGGCUGUUCCACUUAUGAUCCAGCUCUUGGCUAAUGAGCCUGAGAAAGCAGCAGAAAGAUGGUCCAAGUGCUUAGGCCCCUGCACCCACGUGGGAGACCUGGAUGAAGCUCCCAGCCCCUGACUUGGGCCUGGCUAUUGCGAACCAGGGGGUCAAAGAGCCAUCGAUCAAUCUCUCCUCUAACUCUUUCAAAAAAAAAAAAAAAAAAAUUUACUGAAAACAUAUGUCCAGUACCUAGACACAAAAGUACACUGAAUAUAAAGUAAGUCUUCAAAACUGAAUGCCUAACACUAAAUACAGGGCUUAGUAUGUGCCAAACACUAUUCUAAGUACUUUACAUAAAUUAACUCAUGUAUUCCACAUAACAAUCCUUGGACUUCUCACAAAUGUGAAAACUGAGGCCAAGAGAGGGUUAAGUAAUUUGGCCUAGAUCUGACAGAUAGUAAGUGGUAGAGCUAAGAUCCAAACUCAGGCAAUCUGAUUCUAUGCUGCAUACACUGCAUACUCUCAGCAGAAGUUUAAUAAAUAAAAACAAGAAUUCA